GACGAACGCUGGCGGCGUGCCUAAUACAUGCAAGUCGAGCGAAAAUUUUCUGGUUCUUGCGCUUGCACGACUUAGCGGCGAACGAGUGACAAACACGUAAAGUACCUGCCUCAUAGACUGGGCCAACUGUAGGAAACGCUAGCUAAUACCGGAUAACCGUAUUUCUUGCAUGGGGGAUGUUUAAAAGUUGGUUAUGGUAACAAUAUGAGAUGUCUUUGCGUUGCAUUAGCUAGUUGGUGGGGUAAAGGCCCACCAGGGCGCCGAUGCAAAGCCGACCCGAGAGGCGGAUAGCCCACCCUGGAACUGAGACACCCCCCAGACGCCUACGGGAGGCAGCAGUAGCGAAUCUUACGCAAUGGGGGAAAGCCUUGCGGAGCAGCCCCGCGUGAGUUAAGAAGGCGUUCGGUUCGUAAAGCUGGGUUUUUAGGGAAGAAUGGCUUUGGAGUAAGUAGACAUGUAAGAGACGGUACCUAGCCAAAAAGCCACGGCUAACUACGUG
Molecule: ribosomal RNA, 499 nt
Filed under: uncultured bacterium
Lineage: Bacteria
Description: partial 16S ribosomal RNA
Rfam family: Bacterial small subunit ribosomal RNA
Source: RNAcentral